AGAGUUUGAUCCUGGCUCAGGACGAACGCUGGCGGCGUGCCUAACACAUGCAAGUCGAACGGAACUUUUUUUAAUUGGUUUCUUCGGAAUGAUUUUGAUUAAGUUUAGUGGCGGACGGGUGAGUAACGCGUGAGUAACCUGCCUCUGAGAGGGGAAUAACAUUCUGAAAAGAAUGCUAAUACCGCAUAACAUAUAUUUAUCGCAUGGUAGAUAUAUCAAAGAUUUAUCGCUCAGAGAUGGACUCGCGUCCGAUUAGUUAGUUGGUGAGGUAACGGCUCACCAAGACCGCGAUCGGUAGCCGGACUGAGAGGUUGAACGGCCACAUUGGGACUGAGACACGGCCCAGACUCCUACGGGAGGCAGCAGUGGGGGAUAUUGCGCAAUGGGGGAAACCCUGACGCAGCAACGCCGCGUGAAGGAUGAAGGUCUUCGGAUUGUAAACUUCUUUUAUUAAGGACGAAGAAAGUGACGGUACUUAAUGAAUAAGCUCCGGCUAACUACGUGCCAGCAGCCGCGGUAAUACGUAGGGAGCAAGCGUUGUCCGGAUUUACUGGGUGUAAAGGGUGCGUAGGCGGCUUUGCAAGUCAGAUGUGAAAUCUAUGGGCUCAACCCAUAGCCUGCAUUUGAAACUGCAGAGCUUGAGUGAAGUAGAGGCAGGCGGAAUUCCCCGUGUAGCGGUGAAAUGCGUAGAGAUGGGGAGGAACACCAGUGGCGAAGGCGGCCUGCUGGGCUUUAACUGACGCUGAGGCACGAAAGCGUGGGUAGCAAACAGGAUUAGAUACCCUGGUAGUCCACGCUGUAAACGAUGAUUA
This 812-nucleotide ribosomal RNA is filed under the name uncultured bacterium. Its description in RNAcentral is "bacterial SSU rRNA". It matches the Rfam family "Bacterial small subunit ribosomal RNA", at positions 8 to 815 of the family's 1533-position model. The record is from RNAcentral.